RNAcentral lists this ribosomal RNA (612 nucleotides) under uncultured bacterium PM8-1. Its description in RNAcentral is "bacterial SSU rRNA". It matches the Rfam family "Bacterial small subunit ribosomal RNA", at positions 51 to 659 of the family's 1533-position model. The record is from RNAcentral. Lineage: Bacteria; Pseudomonadati; Pseudomonadota; Betaproteobacteria; Rhodocyclales; Rhodocyclaceae.
ACACAUGCAAGUCGAACGGCAGCGGGGGUGCUUGCACCUGCCGGCGAGUGGCGAACGGGUGAGUAAUGCAUCGGAACGUACCCAGUCGUGGGGGAUAACGCAGCGAAAGCUGUGCUAAUACCGCAUACGUCCUGAGGGAGAAAGCAGGGGAUCUCCGGACCUUGUGCGAUUGGAGCGGCCGAUGUCAGAUUAGCUAGUUGGUGAGGUAAAAGCUCACCAAGGCGACGAUCUGUAGCUGGUCUGAGAGGAUGAUCAGCCACACUGGAACUGAGACACGGUCCAGACUCCUACGGGAGGCAGCAGUGGGGAAUUUUGGACAAUGGGGGCAACCCUGAUCCAGCCAUGCCGCGUGAGUGAAGAAGGCCUUCGGGUUGUAAAGCUCUUUCGGCCGGGAAGAAAUCGUGCAGGCUAAUACCCUGUAUGGAUGACGGUACCGGAAUAAGAAGCACCGGCUAACUACGUGCCAGCAGCCGCGGUAAUACGUAGGGUGCGAGCGUUAAUCGGAAUUACUGGGCGUAAAGCGUGCGCAGGCGGUUUUGUAAGACAGGCGUGAAAUCCCGGCUCAACCUGGGAACUGCCUUGUGACCGCAAGACUAGAAUACGGCAGAAGGG